GACGAACCGUGCGAACGUUAUUCGGAAUCACUGGGCUUAAAGCGCGUGUAGGCGGAAGGGCACGUCUGGUGCUGAAAUCCCCCGGCUCAACCGGGGAACGGGCACGGAUACGACUCUUCUGGAGGAACGUAGGGGGACCUGGAACUUCCGGUGGAGCGGUGAAAUGCGUUGAGAUCGGAAGGAACGCCCGUGGCGAAAGCGAGGUCCUGGACGUUUACUGACGCUGAGACGCGAAAGCCAGGGGAGCGAACGGG
RNAcentral lists this ribosomal RNA (254 nucleotides) under uncultured bacterium. Its description in RNAcentral is "partial 16S ribosomal RNA". It matches the Rfam family "Bacterial small subunit ribosomal RNA", at positions 524 to 776 of the family's 1533-position model. The record is from RNAcentral.